CAAAUUAUAACUUAUAGUAGGUAUUAUUAUUUACAUUAAUAGUUUAAUUGUGCGAAUCAAUUUAAUUUGA
Molecule: transfer RNA, 70 nt
Filed under: Ochterus marginatus
Lineage: Eukaryota; Metazoa; Arthropoda; Insecta; Hemiptera; Ochteridae
Description: tRNA-Val
Source: RNAcentral